RNAcentral lists this ribosomal RNA (313 nucleotides) under uncultured bacterium. RNAcentral's name for it is "bacterial SSU rRNA". It matches the Rfam family "Bacterial small subunit ribosomal RNA", at positions 28 to 334 of the family's 1533-position model. The record is from RNAcentral.
GACGAACGCUGGCGGCGUGCCUAACACAUGCAAGUCGAGCGGAGACAUGGAGGAGCUUGCUCCCGAAUGUUUUAGCGGCGGACGGGUGAGUAACGCGUGAGCAACCUUUCUCUCAGUGGGGAAUAGCACAGGGAAACCUGUACUAAUACCGCAUGAGACCACAAUGCCGCAUGGCAUAGGGGUCAAAGAUUUAUUGCUGAGAGGUGGGCUCGCGUCCGAUUAGAUAGUUGGUGAGGUAACGGCUCACCAAGUCGACGAUCGGUAGCCGACCUGAGAGGGUGAUCGGCCACAUUGGGACUGAGACACGGCCCAA